AGCGGCUAUGUCACUUUGAAAAACUAGUUCCUGUAUAAUCACCGAAGUUAAGCAAUGUGGAGCCUGGUCAGUACCUAGAUGAAUGACGGUUUGGGAAUACCACGUGCUGUAAG
Non-coding RNA from Acanthosepion pharaonis, 113 nucleotides. The record is from the annotation of a GenBank genome assembly. NCBI's taxonomy places the organism in Eukaryota, Metazoa, Mollusca, Cephalopoda, Sepiida, Sepiidae.